UAGGGAAUCUUCCACAAUGGACGCAAGUCUGAUGGAGCAACGCCGCGUGAGUGAAGAAGGUUUUCGGAUCGUAAAGCUCUGUCGUUGGUGAAGAAGGAUAGAGGCAGUAACUGGUCUUUAUUUGACGGUAAUCAACCAGAAAGUCACGGCUAACUACGUGCCAGCAGCCGCGGUAAUACGUAGGUGGCAAGCGUUGUCCGGAUUUAUUGGGCGUAAAGCGAGCGCAGGCGGAAUGCUAAGUCUGAUGUGAAAGCCCCCGGCUCAACCGUGGAACUGCAUCGGAAACUGUCAUUCUUGAGUGCAGAAGAGGAGAGUGGAAUUCCAUGUGUAGCGGUGGAAUGCGUAGAUAUAUGGAAGAACACCAGUGGCGAAGGCGGCUCUCUGGUCUGCAACUGACGCUGAUGCUCGAAAGCAUGGGUAGCGAACAGG
This 429-nucleotide ribosomal RNA is filed under the name bacterium. RNAcentral's name for it is "partial 16S ribosomal RNA". It matches the Rfam family "Bacterial small subunit ribosomal RNA", at positions 355 to 776 of the family's 1533-position model. The record is from RNAcentral.